GUUCUACUGCGGCGUUGGUAACUGCCAAUAAUGUUUUAUGAUCUAUGCCUUUUCAAUCUGGGAACCAAUAAGGUCUGGCGGCAGUAAACCGGGCAUGUACCCGGAAACUUUAAGUCAGGCGUUCGGUACCCACCUGGUUUCUUAACCAGGUCAAAAACUGAGGUAAGACGGCGCUGCGGUGAACU
Molecule: non-coding RNA, 185 nt
Filed under: Leptolyngbyaceae cyanobacterium RU_5_1
Lineage: Bacteria; Bacillati; Cyanobacteriota; Cyanophyceae; Leptolyngbyales; Leptolyngbyaceae
Description: 6S RNA
Rfam family: 6S / SsrS RNA
About the family: E. coli 6S RNA was the first non coding RNA to be sequenced, but its function was unknown until recently. It consists of 184 nucleotides that fold into an extended hairpin structure with a large single-stranded internal bulge. The 6S RNA specifically associates with RNA polymerase holoenzyme containing the sigma70 specificity factor.
Source: RNAcentral